This is a long non-coding RNA of Amphimedon queenslandica, 760 nucleotides long. RefSeq lists it as uncharacterized. The transcript is spliced from 3 exons. NCBI's taxonomy places the organism in Eukaryota, Metazoa, Porifera, Demospongiae, Haplosclerida, Niphatidae. The record is from RefSeq and is a predicted model, not a curated record.
ACACUUUUUCUAGCUACAAAAACUGUUGCAGAACAAGUUAUGUGUGUACUACUAUGAAGCUGUAGUUUACAGCAAUGGAGCAUAUAUACCGGUUAAGCAAAGGGAAAACACUCACCAUCUUAGUCUAUUUGUGAGUAAGAGUCUCCUUUUUUAUUGCAAAACAAACUUUCUCUCUUCAGUUAACUUUUCCAUUAUGAGAAAUGGAGGCCUUGUCAAUAUUUUCAUGUAUGUUUACUAGAGGGACAUAGCAGUUUUCUGAAAAGUGGUAUCGUUUGCCGGAUACAUUUGGUAGCUCAUACUAUAAGGAUACUUUGUCCUAGUGGGUGUGGAAGUUAAAUUAGUUUUGAGGCUUCUAUAUGCUUUAUUUAUUGUAACAACUCAAGAUCUUUGAAUAUACUCAACCUGGACAUAGUAAGGAAUUAGCCAAAUUAAUUACAUGAAAAGUAAAGCAAGUAAUUCUAUUUUAACGUAGAAGAAUACCUCUCAAGCUAUACAGAUUUGGUGAGUCUUGCAAGACACUAUAUAAUUGUUUAUUGUUUUGCAUGUUGUAUAGUUUUGAUUCUUUCAAUGCUCUUUUUAAGUUUAAGUUAUAGACAUUUAUUAGAUGCAUGUAUGCUUCCUAUUAUGCCAAGCUUGUAAAGUACCUGUCCUGUAAAAAUUUUUUUGCACACACACUUAUCUAUGAGUUCUGUCUUUAAUGUUAGGAUAAAUGAUAGUUAGAAAAAUAAUAAACUACUAUUUCUGUUGUUUUAUGUAGUUU